UAUAAAUCGAAGAUAAGGACAGAAUUUUAUAAUAUUGAUUUAUAGAGAACUCAUGGUUGGUGGAAAUGAGUAUGAGUAUUAUAAGAUUAUCCCCUUAGAGUGGAUUAUUGAAUCAAGUAGGUAAUCUCGUAAACAGGCGUUAACUGAUUUAAGCGCUAGCUAAUUAAGCUAGAACAAAGGUGGUACCGCGAUUAAUUCGUCCUUUUU
RNAcentral lists this non-coding RNA (207 nucleotides) under Mycoplasmatota bacterium. RNAcentral describes it as "Tenericutes bacterium T-box sequence". It matches the Rfam family "T-box leader". Rfam says of the family: Uncharged tRNA acts as the effector for transcription antitermination of genes in the T-box leader family. T-boxes are found upstream of many aminoacyl-tRNA synthetase genes and some amino acid biosynthetic genes usually in Gram-positive bacteria. The anticodon of a specific tRNA base pairs to a specifier sequence within the T-box motif, and the NCCA acceptor tail of the tRNA base pairs to a conserved bulge in the T-box antiterminator hairpin. Lineage: Bacteria; Bacillati; Mycoplasmatota. The record is from RNAcentral.